CUAUUACUCGCCCUGAGGUGGAAGGGGGGAGACUCUUUAAAGUGCGUCAGAGGGAGGUGAGCGCCUGGGAACCCGGAGGCCUGGAUCCCGGCCGAGUGGAACGGAGUCGGCGCCGCCGCCUCGGCCGAGCCUUCCGCCGCCCGCCGGGCCGCCCGACUUCUCCGCGCCUUCGCCCCUCGCUCCCAGCUCACUCGCUCCUGCGACGCCCGCUGCGGCUUCUCCUCCUCCUCCUCCUUCGCCUCCUCCUCUUCCUCCGGUUUCUUCUUCUUCUCCUCCUCCUCUUCUUCCUCCUCCUCCUCCUCCUCUUCUUCCUCCUCCUCUUUCCCCACCUACUCCCCCUCAGCCACCGCCUCCUCCUCCACCAGCACCACUCCCUCCGGGGCACCCCGGUCCCUGCAGAGUCCCUGGCCGGCGCCGCCUCCGCUGCGGCCCCCUGAAUCCGGAGCCUGCUGCGCCCAAGCUGGUAGGACAGACGGACAAACAGAUUCCUUUCGCCUAGCGCUCCUUACGCGGCCCUGCGUCGGGGGAACUGGGAUCGUCCCAGGAGCACCGCGAGGGGAUGUGUGUGUUGAGAAGACACCAUCGGGGGUCCCAAACUAACUAUGACAUGCACACCACUCCAUGCUGACCUGCAAUGGACAGGUAAUGUGAACAAAAGAAAAUAUUUAUUGUAUAACGCUGCUGAGAUCAGGUGGUUGU
This 699-nucleotide long non-coding RNA is filed under the name Rhinopithecus roxellana (golden snub-nosed monkey). RNAcentral describes it as "lncRNA (ENSRROG00000045858.1)". Lineage: Eukaryota; Metazoa; Chordata; Mammalia; Primates; Cercopithecidae. The record is from RNAcentral.